RNAcentral lists this ribosomal RNA (654 nucleotides) under uncultured bacterium. RNAcentral describes it as "bacterial SSU rRNA". It matches the Rfam family "Bacterial small subunit ribosomal RNA", at positions 185 to 858 of the family's 1533-position model. The record is from RNAcentral.
AUUGCAUGAUCCGGUGUGAAAAACUCCGGUGGUAUGAGAUGGACCCGCGUCUGAUUAGCUAGUUGGUGGGGUAACGGCCCACCAAGGCGACGAUCAGUAGCCGACCUGAGAGGGUGACCGGCCACAUUGGGACUGAGACACGGCCCAAACUCCUACGGGAGGCAGCAGUGGGGAAUAUUGCACAAUGGGGGAAACCCUGAUGCAGCAACGCCGCGUGAGUGAAGAAGUAUUUCGGUAUGUAAAGCUCUAUCAGCAGGGAAGAAAAUGACGGUACCUGAGUAAGAAGCCCCGGCUAACUACGUGCCAGCAGCCGCGGUAAUACGUAGGGGGCAAGCGUUAUCCGGAUUUACUGGGUGUAAAGGGAGCGUAGACGGCGAUGCAAGUCUGAAGUGAAAGCCCGGGGCUCAACCCCGGGACUGCUUUGGAAACUGUAUGGCUAGAGUGCUGGAGAGGCAAGCGGAAUUCCUAGUGUAGCGGUGAAAUGCGUAGAUAUUAGGAAGAACACCAGUGGCGAAGGCGGCUUGCUGGACAGUAACUGACGUUGAGGCUCGAAAGCGUGGGGAGCAAACAGGAUUAGAUACCCUGGUAGUCCACGCUGUAAACGAUGAAUGCUAGGUGUUGGGGAGCAAAGCUUCUCGGUGCCGCCGCAAACGC